This 4133-nucleotide unclassified non-coding RNA is filed under the name Leishmania donovani. RNAcentral's name for it is "gene:LdHU3.36.0800(CDS-product:CAP-Gly_domain/CRA L/TRIO_domain_containing_protein_putative)". The record is from RNAcentral. Lineage: Eukaryota; Euglenozoa; Kinetoplastea; Trypanosomatida; Trypanosomatidae.
AUGGGUAUACAGCGCUGUUGUUGUGGCCUCUGCAGAUCUCUUUCUUGUCACUUCAUCACUGAAGCAACAAGCAGGUGCGCCGUCCUCUCUCAUUUUCUCUGCGCUCCUUGUCUCGCUUCGACUUUGCAUUCCCUUGCGCACCAGGACGCCAACUUUUACCAUCUUUCUUUAAACACGGUCUCUCUAUCGUUUUUUUUUUGCUUCGUUCUUCUUUGACUGAAGCAAAGAAGCUUCUCUAACUCUUUCUCUAUCGCUGACGCUCCGUGUAUCCACUGCUGAUCCGUCGAUCCCGCACCUUUUCCUCCAGGCGUGUGUGCGCACCAGCCUUUUUACGGUGGCUUUUUUGUUUCAAUUUUUUUUUUCUCUCAUCUCCUCCGGCGCGCGUCUGCCUGUGUGCGUGUGUGUGUGCGGUGCUUAUACAGGUUUCACUUGCACACCCCGUGUGUACCCCAGCAGACCUCCUUUGGUAUCGAGGCGCACGCACGGAAGCAGCAGGGUAAAGGGGAAUAGACGUGCAACUACGACAUCGUUUGCUUUCCGCUCCUCUCCCUCAGCGUGACUCGAUCGGAACUCCAUCCGGUCGUUGGUGGCCCUGCGUUGAAUCUUUCUUGUCCGUCUCCGGCUCCGGUUUAGGUACCCGGCUCGCAUUGGUAUGCUUUUUGUUCUAAUCCUCCCAUUUUCUUUUCUUUCGGUUAGCGCGCGUGUGCGAGUGUCUUACGCCAGAGUGCAGCUGUCGUGCUCGUACUGGGGACGCCCUUGUCCCAUUUUUUCCAUAUCGCUGCUCUGCCUUUAAUUGCAGUGGCGUUGGCUUACAAUAAGUGCACAAGCACGCACGCAAAGGACGUGUCACUCACCAUGGCGGCAACUCAUCUUACCUUUGAUGAUGCGAAGGUGGGCAUGCGCGUCCAGGAUUACUGGGGCUGCUGCGGCACGCUACGUUGGAUGGGGAAGCUCGAGAAGGACAAUUCGCCUAACAAGGAAACAGGCAAGUUCUUCGGUAUCGAGUACGACGACGAGAGUGACAAUCCGCUGCGCAGCAAUGGCACGUGGAACGGCCGCAAGUACUUUGAGUGCGGGCCGCGUAAGGGCCGUCUUGUGAAGGUAGGCCAAGUUUACGCCGAGAUCAACACCGAGCGGGUGGCGAUGCUACGGGAGCGCUUUGGGGAGCGCGUCGCGACGUGGCACGACUUUGAGCUGGUGAAGUUCUGCAUUGCGCGACAGUUCGAUAUGGAAAAGGUCUAUGAGAUGCUGGAGAGGCACCUGCAGUGGCGCGGGAGAUUCCAGCCGUGCGCCGACGAGUACUUCCCUCAGACGAUUCGUGAGGAUUACCCGUGCGGCUACACAGGCACUACCGAUUACGACGAGAACCUCAUUUACUGCGAACGCCCCGGCAAUGCUGGCCACUGCCAACCGUCCGAGUUUGUGCGCAAGUACACGCUACCGGUAAUUGCGCGGUGGCACGCGUGCGCUAUCGAGAUGGGCAUUGCGCGCAUGCGCGCCACGAACUACCGCUCCAAGCGAGUGUGCUGCAUUGUGGAUCUGUUGAACGUAAAAGCCAUGUCGCGUUCGAUGAUCGGCUUUGCGCAGACGCUGGCGACGGUGGAGCAGGACAACUACCCUGAGAACCUAGGGUGCGUCUUUAUAGUGAACUGCCCCAUGUUUUUCUGCUUUGCCUGGAAGCUGCUGAAGAUCUUCAUCGACGAACGCACCAAUAAAAAGAUUAAUUUCUGCGCUCCAAACAAGGCGGUGGAAGCGAUGCUGCCGGUGAUGCGGAAGGAGGACAUACCGAACUUCUGCGGCGGGACCAGCAACAAGUGGAUGGAAACGGCCAACGGCAUCAUCGGCUCGACAAACCCGAAAAAGGUCUACAGGGGCGAGGACUACAGCCCGCCCAGCAUGAAGAGCGAAGAGCUGAAUGAGACGCAGUCGCGAGCCGAUAGUGAGAGCCCCCACAGGAGCCUCCGCGAAGGUGAGGCACCGACGACCACGCGCUUCAUCGCGCCCGACGCGGUGUCCUUGAGCUUCACGCCCACCAGUAGCUCCAAAUCGCCUGAGGAGCCCAAGAUGACGUCUGAGGCGCAGAGCAGCAGCGACACGGCAAGCGGCAAGAAGCGAAAGAACGGUUUGCCGAAGUGAGCUACGGAUGCCCGUGUGCUGGAGGCCUUCGUGGGAAUAUCUGCAUGAGCACACCCCGAUGAAGGGGGGACACUGUGCGCAUCUUUGUGCUUGCUGCGGGCCGUCGUGCAUCUCUCUCGAAAAAGUAGCGGUUGGAGCUGAAUGUGGGAAAGAUGCGCUGCAGCAGGGACACUGUAAGGGAUGGAGAUGGACGUGCGCGUUGCCAAGGUCGUGGAGCUACGGUGUGAAUGUGUGGGUGUUGUGUGCCAUCUCCUCAUGCGCCUCUGCUCUCGCCGCUCGCUCGCAGGUGAUAGUGGCAGAGCCGCCAACGCGGCAGGUGACCAAGGCACAAGCUCUUGCACCCGUGAUGAUGUGUGUCUUUGCCUCUUUGCUCUGCCUCGCCUUGCUUUCUCUCUUUUCCGUCGUUCGAGGACUUCGCUGUCAGCGGCCACCGAGGCACAAAUGGUACAAUGACCUAAAGUGACCCGUCUCUGUCCAUGAGUGCCCCUUGUUCCCCGUGUCUUUGCCGCGUUGCCAGUGCCUCACCAACCUACUCUCUCCCCUCUCUCCGUUUUCUAUUCCUCUUCUGCGCUCUCUGUGAGCCACCCCUUUACUCCCCUCUCCCAGUGUGCCUACCGCCGCCGUCGCUGCGCGUUCCUUCUGGCCUUCUCUCGCCUCUUUCUACGAUUUUUCUUUCGUGUUUUUUUUUGUACACCUCUGCGAAUUGCCUAUCACCCUUCUUACUCUCUCUGACUCUCUGUGUUUCUUUUUUUUGUCUCUGUGUGUGCUCGCCUUUCUCUCAGCAUUCCUACUUGCGCAUCUACUCGUUGUUGUGAUUGUGACGCUUUCCCUGCGCCGUUUUUUGUUUGUGCUGUGCUACUCUAUAUGUAUUAAUCGAUGAUGAGACUCAUCGGUGUGCGGGUGGCGUCAUCUUCGACUGCACCUGUUGUCACUUAUGCACGCAGUACCAGCGGCGCGACAGUCGUGGAGUGCGUGAUGGACUCCUUUUCCCUUUUUGGCUUUGCAUUGCGAUCUUGAUUUGCACUUCGGUUCCUUUUUCAUUUUUCUUCUAGGCGCCCAGUGCCCUUGCUUCUCGAGCUCUCUGCUGGUCGUGCCGCUUAUCGCGCAGUCUUCCCCGGUUCUUCUUUCUCUUUCCAAACGUUCCCUCAUAGCUUCUCCUCUUAAGUGCUGACAAGAGACCUCUGAGUUUGUUUCACGCCUGCUUUGCUUCCUUCUUCGUCACACUCGUCCUAGUUCGUGUCUGUGCCGGUGUGCGCGUUCCCACGUUUUCGUAAAGCUUGUGUGGCAUUCUAACUCGAUCGAAGUAGUGGGGCAGCAGUGCUGCCUUCGAUAGUGCGCCUGCGGCAGCGAUGCAGCAGUGUGUGCCACAGUCCAGCGACUGAGGCAGCACACAGUGAACAUGUGAGUGUGCAAGAGCUGUACCGCGUCGCGUGGCUAAAAGGGUGUGGUGGAUUGGGGGCUAUGCAGAAGGAAUAUGGAUGAAGAUGUGUGCCGACGCUUCGCUCCCACUACGUGUUCAUUCGUUGUCUCGACCUCCCCUUUUCUUGCGCGGUUUUUCUUUUUGCCACUCCCCACGUCCUUUCUCGCACACCCAUCCUCUCUCGUUCUCUCUUCGCGUUCUUUUUAGUCUCCCGCGGGCACGCAUUGGUGCCUGUGUGCCGCGUGUGCGCUUCUUCCAAGACGGAGAUGGUGCUGAUAUCUUCCAACACGUACGGCAACGACAACAGGAAACAAUGGUAGAAGAAACACCGCCACCAAAAACAAAAAAAAAGCACAAAGAACCUAACACCACAUAAAGGCGUACACAUGUGACGGGAAAAAAGCAACGAAACCUGCACACCGGAGAUGGCAUCGCGCCACAGUAUCCGGUACGAAGGUUGCCAAGGGGGAAUGGCUGAAGAGGACACAAGUACUUGCCCAACUCUUAACUCUCUCUCACGUGCGCCAUGUGACUGAUAGGAUCACCGGAGGAAAGGGAAAAGUUGCGUCGGUAGGUG